Potamilus streckersoni is the source of this 73-nucleotide non-coding RNA. The record is from the annotation of a GenBank genome assembly. Lineage: Eukaryota; Metazoa; Mollusca; Bivalvia; Unionida; Unionidae.
GCUCCUGUGGCCUUGUGGUUAGAGCGUUUGCAUCGGAUGCAGAAGGUCGCGAGUUCGAACCCCGGCCGAAUCA